RNAcentral lists this ribosomal RNA (476 nucleotides) under uncultured bacterium. Its description in RNAcentral is "bacterial SSU rRNA". It matches the Rfam family "Bacterial small subunit ribosomal RNA", at positions 28 to 507 of the family's 1533-position model. The record is from RNAcentral.
GAUGAACGCUAGCGGGAGGCUUAAUACAUGCAAGUCGAGCGGUAAGGUUUUCGGACCCUAGAGCGGCGAACGGGUGAGUAACGCGUACGAAACCUGCCUUUAAGAGAGGGAUAGCCCUGGGAAACUGGGAGUAAUACCUCAUAGUAUUCAUUAACCGCAUGGUUUAUGGAUUAAAGCUACGGCGCUUAAAGAUGGUCGUGCGUCUGAUUAGCUAGUUGGUAGGGUAACGGCCUACCAAGGCUACGAUCAGUAGGGGGCGUGAGAGCGUGGCCCCCCACACGGGUACUGAGACACGGACCCGACUCCUACGGGAGGCAGCAGUGAGGAAUAUUGGUCAAUGGGCGAGAGCCUGAACCAGCCAUCCCGCGUGCAGGAUGACGGCCCUAUGGGUUGUAAACUGCUUUUCUGCUCCAAGAAACCUGAUUACGUGUAAUCAGUUGACGGUAGAGUAGGAAUAAGCAUCGGCUAACUCCGUG